RNAcentral lists this ribosomal RNA (190 nucleotides) under uncultured soil bacterium. RNAcentral's name for it is "partial 16S ribosomal RNA". It matches the Rfam family "Bacterial small subunit ribosomal RNA", at positions 25 to 220 of the family's 1533-position model. The record is from RNAcentral.
CAGGACGAACGCUGGCGGCGUGCUUAACACAUGCAAGUCGAGCGGUAAGGCCUUUCGGGGUACACGAGCGGCGAACGGGUGAGUAACACGUGGGUGAUCUGCCCUGCACUCUGGGAUAAGCCUGGGAAACUGGGUCUAAUACCGGAUAUGACCUGCUCUCGCAGUGGGGGAGGUGAAAGNUUUANCGGUG